AGUGCAGUGAAAAAGUGAGUGAAAAGUGAGUGCAGUGUUAGAGUGAGUUACUUGAAAAAACAUUUAAAUGUCCCGCAUGACUAAAGAAAGAGCGGUGUUAAGUGAAAGUGUUAGUGUCGAUGGUCAUUAUGACGGCUAGUAGGGCUGGGCGGUUGCGGCCAAAGUGUGUGAAGUGAUCAUAGCAUUAGAGUGAGUUACUUGAAAAAAACAGUUAAAUGUCCCGCAUGACUAAAGAAAGAGCGGAAAUAAAUAAUCACACUCAGUGCUAAGUGAAAGUGUUAGUGUCGAUGGUCAUAAUGAUGGCAAGGAGAGCCAGGCGGUUGCGGCCAAAGUGAGUGAAAAGUGAGUGCAGUGCGAAUGGCGUAUAAGAAGCAGGUUGCAGAAUAAAAUGAGCGGAAAUAUGUGAAGUGCAGUGAUAAGUGUAGUGUCGAUGGUCAUAAUGAUGGCAAGGAGAGCCAGGCGGUUGCGGCCAAAGUGAGUGAAAAGUGAGUGCAGUGUGAAUGGCGUAUAAGAAGCAGGUUGCAGAAUAAAAUGAGCGGAAAUAUGUGAAGUGCAGUGUACAUACAUAUGAAGACGUUAAUUUAUGCACUAAAUUUUUUUUUCAAGUUCAAAAUGUGCAUUUUUGUUUGAUCAUAUAAUGUCUUGCAAAUAUCCAAAAAAAAAUGUGAUGUAUAGUGUUUUUUCCUUUCCCACUCCGGCAUGUAAUUGUCGCAGAAGAAGAGCAUGAGCGAGCGCCUCUCUUUCCAAGUGUAAAAAGAAUAAGGUGGUGAUUUCCAAAUCUGAAGUUGUGAUCUUUCUCUCUCGUGCACCUUGUGCACGCGAAAUAAGCAAAGUAUGCGUGUUUUGAGAGAGUUGUGUUCUCCAAUGUCCCACCUUAAAUUGAAAUAUACCACAUUUGUGCUCUUAUUGGAGUCGCAUAGUCGAAAUUUACAAAUGAGAGUAUGUGUGUGCGUUCAUGUGCGUAGAAAGCGGCGAAAUGGGAGAACAUCGCGUGUGCAAUAUGUAUAAUGUAUAAUAAGUGCAGUGUGUAAUAAAUCAAUUUUUUUUUGCGAGUGCUAACAAAGUCUCCCAGUCCCGUUCCGACUCGUCAAAUGCGUAAUCCGAAAUCCGUAAUCCAAUUCUAAUUCGUAAC
RNAcentral lists this long non-coding RNA (1132 nucleotides) under Drosophila guanche. Lineage: Eukaryota; Metazoa; Arthropoda; Insecta; Diptera; Drosophilidae. The record is from RNAcentral.